ACCUUUCUAGUAUCAAAUUGUACAAAUGACUUCCAAUCAUUUAGUCUUGGUUAAACCCCAGGGAAAGGU
RNAcentral lists this transfer RNA (69 nucleotides) under Acheilognathus typus (zenitanago). RNAcentral's name for it is "tRNA-Gly". Lineage: Eukaryota; Metazoa; Chordata; Actinopteri; Cypriniformes; Acheilognathidae. The record is from RNAcentral.